GACGAACGCUGGCGGCGUGCCUAAUACAUGCAAGUCGAACGAACUCUGGUAUUGAUUGGUGCUUGCAUCAUGAUUUACAUUUGAGUGAGUGGCGAACUGGUGAGUAACACGUGGGAAACCUGCCCAGAAGCGGGGGAUAACACCUGGAAACAGAUGCUAAUACCGCAUAACAACUUGGACCGCAUGGUCCGAGUUUGAAAGAUGGCUUCGGCUAUCACUUUUGGAUGGUCCCGCGGCGUAUUAGCUAGAUGGUGGGGUAACGGCUCACCAUGGCAAUGAUACGUAGCCGACCUGAGAGGGUAAUCGGCCACAUUGGGACUGUGACACGGCCCAAACUCCUACGGGAGGCAGCAGUAGGGAAUCUUCCACAAUGGACGAAAGUCUGAUGGAGCAACGCCGCGUGAGUGAAGAAGGGUUUCGGCUCGUAAAACUCUGUUGUUAAAGAAGAACAUAUCUGAGAGUAACUGUUCAGGUAUUGACGGUAUUUAACCAGAAAGCCACGGCUAACUACGUGCCAGCAGCCGCGGUAAUACGUAGGUGGCAAGCGUUGUCCGGAUUUAUUGGGCGUAAAGCGAGCGCAGGCGGUUUUUUAAGUCUGAUGUGAAAGCCUUCGGCUCAACCGAAGAAGUGCAUCGGAAACUGGGAAACUUGAGUGCAGAAGAGGACAGUGGAACUCCAUGUGUAGCGGUGAAAUGCGUAGAUAUAUGGAAGAACACCAGUGGCGAAGGCGGCUGUCUGGCCUGUAACUGACGCUGAGGCUCGAAAGUAUGGGUAGCAAACAGGAUUAGAUACCCUGGUAGUCCAUACCGUAAACGAUGAAUGCUAAGUGUUGGAGGGUUUCCGCCCUUCAGUGCUGCAGCUAACGCAUUAAGCAUUCCGCCUGGGGAGUACGGCCGCAAGGCUGAAACUCAAAGGAAUUGACGGGGGCCCGCACAAGCGGUGGAGCAUGUGGUUUAAUUCGAAGCUACGCGAAGAACCUUACCAGGUCUUGACAUACUAUGCAAAUCUAAGAGAUUAGACGUUCCCUUCGGGGACAUGGAUACAGGUGGUGCAUGGUUGUCGUCAGCUCGUGUCGUGAGAUGUUGGGUUAAGUCCCGCAACGAGCGCAACCCUUAUUAUCAGUUGCCAGCAUUAAGUUGGGCACUCUGGUGAGACUGCCGGUGACAAACCGGAGGAAGGUGGGGAUGACGUCAAAUCAUCAUGCCCCUUAUGACCUGGGCCACACACGUGCUACAAUGGAUGGUACAACGAGUUGCGAACUCGCGAGAGUAAGCUAAUCUCUUAAAGCCAUUCUCAGUUCGGAUUGUAGGCUGCAACUCGCCUACAUGAAGUCGGAAUCGCUAGUAAUCGCGGAUCAGCAUGCCGCGGUGAAUACGUUCCCGGGCCUUGUACACACCGCCCGUCACACCAUGAGAGUUUGUAACACCCAAAGUCGGUGGGGUAACCUUUUAGGAACCAGCCGCCUAAGGUGGGACAGAUGAUUAGGGUG
This 1489-nucleotide ribosomal RNA is filed under the name Lactiplantibacillus plantarum. RNAcentral describes it as "bacterial SSU rRNA". It matches the Rfam family "Bacterial small subunit ribosomal RNA". Lineage: Bacteria; Bacillati; Bacillota; Bacilli; Lactobacillales; Lactobacillaceae. The record is from RNAcentral.